Molecule: long non-coding RNA, 227 nt
Filed under: Manihot esculenta (cassava)
Lineage: Eukaryota; Viridiplantae; Streptophyta; Magnoliopsida; Malpighiales; Euphorbiaceae
Description: long non-coding RNA (MESC_LNC002412)
Source: RNAcentral
UCAUCUGAUAUUGCAACUGGAUUGACGGUGGGCUGUCGGUAUUGUCGGUUGGCGGUGGGUUGUUCUGCUCCUGUGCACAAGGUCGGCGAUAGAUUGAGAUAGACUAGCAGUGAAAUGGGUAGGCAUGCAGAUUGUGUUUCGGUUAGGCUAAGCUUAUUUCCAUUUGGACUGGAUUGGCUUGGUCAAUGAGUUGAGAUUUAAUGUUCUUAGAGCUAGUGAGUCUGGUC